This is an RNA transcript of Brassica rapa (field mustard), 1063 nucleotides long. RefSeq lists it as uncharacterized. Lineage: Eukaryota; Viridiplantae; Streptophyta; Magnoliopsida; Brassicales; Brassicaceae. The record is from RefSeq and is a predicted model, not a curated record.
AGGAAGCUGAGAGACAGAGAGAUUCAGACCGCAAACUGAGAAAACAGUGAGAGAGUGAUGAGUUCUGUUCGCUACAAAUCAUCAGAUCCAUCGCAAUGCACACCUGUCAUUAUUGCUUCCGAAUCCAUCGAGAGUAGGAAGAAGCUGGAGAAGAAGAAAAAGAGCCACGUGUUGCUAGAAGGCUACGUGGAGAGUCUCGCCACGUUGGAUAAUAAUAACCAAGACGAUCUGACGAGAUCCAAGAGCUUGACCGACGACGAUCUCGAAGAUCUCAAGGGUUGCCUAGAUCUAGGCUUUGGUUUCAGCUACGACGAGAUCCCUGAGCUCUGCAGCACUCUCCCCGCUCUAGAGCUUUGCUAUUCCAUGAGCCAGAGAUUCUCCGACGACAACAACAACAAGUCAUCGCCGGAAAAUUCGCCGGUGGACGAUUCUUCUCCGGCGCCUCCUAUUGCCAACUGGAAGAUAUCUAGCCCCGGUGAUAAUCCGGAUGAUGUGAAAGCUAGGCUCAAGUACUGGGCACAAGCCGUUGCAUGUACUGUCCAGUUGUGCAGCUGAAUGGUUCAUCGUCACGUCUGAAGCAGGAAGUCUAGUGAAGGUGUAACAUCAUGGUACUGUUUAUAGAUGAGGAGGAGAUCUCAGAAAGGCAUUGGAAGUGGUGAGAGGCUUGUGUUUUAUAAGAGCUAUCACUAACUGGCUACAUGCCUCUACUUGCUGAGGUAACUAAUACUAACUGGAUCAAUUUAACCUUCUUCGUGAGAGAUUUGUGUGCCUAUUUCCGUGCUGUUGCACCUUGAUUUCUCAGGAGAAUCGAGUGAGAGGAAAAGAAAGAAGAUAGAUGGAUUUCAUAUGUUAUAUGUUAUCUUCUUCCGUAUUCAAUAACUGGUGAAAAAGUGGACUACUGACAACAAUUGAUACUGAAUGCUCGAUACGGAUGAUCUGAAUCAAGUUUGUGACAUUAUUCAAAAGCAAACUGUUUGAAAAUCUACAUUGAUAUAAGUAUAUAACUUGAAAUGUGUAUCUAGAUAGUGCCUCAUGUUCUAUAUAUGCAGGGCUUGAAGUUGUA